This 253-nucleotide ribosomal RNA is filed under the name uncultured bacterium. RNAcentral describes it as "partial 16S ribosomal RNA". It matches the Rfam family "Bacterial small subunit ribosomal RNA", at positions 524 to 776 of the family's 1533-position model. The record is from RNAcentral.
UACAGAGGUGGCAAGCGUUGUUCGGAAUUACUGGGCGUAAAGGGCGCGUAGGCGGUUCGUUAAGUCCUGUGUGAAAUCCCCCGGCUCAACUGGGGAACUGCACAGGAAACUAGCGGGCUUGAGUUCGGGAGAGGGAAGCGGAAUUCCGGGUGUAGCGGUGAAAUGCGUAGAUAUCCGGAGGAACACCGGUGGCGAAGGCGGCAUUCUGGACCGAUAUUGACGCUGAGGAGCGAAAGCCAGGGGAGCAAACGGG